CAGCUCCCGCAUACCUCCACCUGCCAUAUUGGCCUGCCAUGGUAGGCCAGGGAGAGAGAAAAAGGAAGAAAAGAGAAGAGAAAAGAAAAAUGUGUUGCCUACUGCCCCUGCCUUUAUUGGGAUGGACAGCUGGAGUAAACAUCAUCCAGAAAGACUGGGACUCUGGGUCCUCUCAAACCCAGCACACCCGCACCACGAAUACCAGCCCCCAGCAAGAAACCUCUAAGCACUUUGGGCCAAAGCGGUUUCAGUUUGAAACCAUGAUGAAUUUAACAUAAAUCAAGAAAAGCAACAGAAGCAACUUUUCCCAUCUGGAAUGGAGUACAGCCUUCUAUUUUAUGCUAUUUGUCUACCCUGUCACUAACUGCAGAGAAAACGUUCUAAAAACUGCCCUUUGUAGCCUCAAGCCAUUUCCCUAGGGCUGUUUGACUUAAAAAAAAAAAA
This 444-nucleotide long non-coding RNA is filed under the name Homo sapiens (human). RNAcentral describes it as "HSALNT0166333". Lineage: Eukaryota; Metazoa; Chordata; Mammalia; Primates; Hominidae. The record is from RNAcentral.